GCGUGCUUUACACAUGCAAGUCGAACGUGAAAGUAUCUUCGGAUGUAAGUAAAGUGGCGAACGGGUGAGUAACGCGUGAGAAUCUGCCCUUGGGUGAAGGAUACCCUAGAGAAAUUUAGGUUAAUACUGCAUAAGCCGAUUUAUCGGGAAAGGUGGCCUAUUUGCUACCGCGCAAGGAUGAGCUCGCGUACUAUUAGUUUGUUGGUGGGGUAAAAGCCUACCAAGACGAAGAUGGUUAGCCGACCUGAGAGGGUGAUCGGCCACAAUGGGACUGAGAUACGGCCCAUACUCCUACGGGAGGCAGCAGUGGGGAAUUUUGCACAAUGGGCGAAAGCCUGAUGCAGCGACGCCGCGUGGAGGAUGAAGGUUUUCGGAUCGUAAACUCCUGUUAAGUGGGAAGAAAGGCUGUGGGUUAAUACCCCGCAGAGAUGACGGUACCACUAGAGAAAGCACCGGCUAACUUCGUGCCAGCAGCCGCGGUAAUACGAGGGGUGCUAGCGUUAUUCGGAAUUACUGGGCGUAAAGAGCGUGUAGGCGGUCUUUUAAGUCUGUUGUUAAAUUACCCGGCCUAACCGGGUGCCAGCAAUGGAUACUGGGAGACUAGAGGACAAGAGAGAGAGGUAGAAUUCUCGGAGUAGCGGUAAAAUGCGUAGAUCUCGAGAGGAAUACCGAUGGCGAAGGCAGCUUCUUGGCUUGUAUCUGACGCUUAAGCGCGAAAGCGUGGGGAGCAAACAGGAUUAGAUACCCUGGUAGUCCACGCCCUAAACGAUGAUCACUAGAUGUUGGUCUUGCAUAGCGAGAUCUGUGUCGAAGCUAACGCGUUAAGUGAUCCGCCUGGGGAGUACGGUCGCAAGAUUAAAACUCAAAGAAAUUGACGGGGGUCCGCACAAGCGGGGAACAUGUGGUUUAAUUCGUCACUACGCGAGGAACCUUACCUGGGCUUGACAUGUAACUGCUACUGCUAGAAAUAGUGGGUUUCGUGCUUGCACGAACGGUUACACAGGUGCUGCAUGGCUGUCGU
Molecule: ribosomal RNA, 1021 nt
Filed under: uncultured marine eubacterium HstpL37
Lineage: Bacteria
Description: bacterial SSU rRNA
Rfam family: Bacterial small subunit ribosomal RNA
Source: RNAcentral